This is a non-coding RNA of Gossypium raimondii (Peruvian cotton), 143 nucleotides long. Lineage: Eukaryota; Viridiplantae; Streptophyta; Magnoliopsida; Malvales; Malvaceae. The record is from Rfam.
UGUUAAAAGUUUUAUCCAUUUCUACUAAAAAAUUGGCGUGACUGAUAAAAUAACUAGACAAUUACACAUGGCGUGCCAUGUGUACCUCAUGCUGGCAUACAUAGGCUAGUUUUUAAUAGAAAAAACGGAUGGAAUUUAUAAUA